UAAUAUUUUUGAAUUUUGAUAAUCUUGAGUUUUUUAAGAGAAUGAAAUGCUGUGUACACAAAUAAUUUUUAUAUUGCUUUUAUACAUCAUUAGCAAAAUUAAUAUAUGAGUUGAAUAAAAUUGAUCAGAUGGAUAUUUUUCGAUUUUGUAAUCAUAACCUGAUAUAUUUACAAUCUAAAUUGUGAACUUACAGAAUAAAACUGAAAUUUAUUAACAUGUUAUGGGUAUAACCUUUUGGGUAUAAUGUUGUAUGAGACAUUUUAGACAUAAUUAUGAGUAAAUUAACACUUAGAGAUAAGUCAGAGAUUGAGGAAUUUUCUGAGUCAGACACUUCAGGUUCUGAGUGGCAACCAUCUGAUUCCAGUAGUGAUACAGAAUUUUCUGUUUGAUCCUCAUAUACAAAAUGAACAGUGUCCAGUUUGAAUUUAAAAUUGCCAAUGCCAAUAAAUGAAUCUGAAAAAGACGUAGAUCAAGCAUCUCAUUGAAUUAUCAAAUGAGUCACUUAUAUCUGAUGGAAAAAAUUUAGAAACUCUUGUAUCCACAAGUUCUUUUGAAGUAUCGCCACAUAAAAAUGCUUCAAGCGACUUAGAAAUUAACUGCAGUAGUUUUAAUUCUUUUUUGAUGGAAGACUCUCCUAGCAAUACACUUCUUUCAUUAGAAUCUAAUAAGCACCAUGUAAAAUCUAAAAUUCUUAAGUCUAAUGUUGUAGAACAAUUCAGAAAUCUUAAUACGAAUACAUUAAGUGAUCUAAAAAUAAAUGAAAAAAACAAGUUCUAUCUUCUACGGAGAAAAUUAUUUCAAAUGCAGAAGGACCAAUCAAUAAAAAAUCAUAUAGUUUCUUCAGUCAAUUUCAAAAUAAUUCUAUGGAAAAUUCAAUUAAUUCAAUAAAUAGUGAUAUGGAUGGUAGCAUCUUGCCUAUUUUAAAAACUGCUAAAAACAAUGAUCACCAAAGAUACUUAAGUUUGAAUGCUAAAAUAUUAAAAAAUGAAGUAAGGCAAAACCAGAAAAAUAAAUUUGCACCAAAAAAACAAAUAUUAUCAAAAGUUGCAAGUUCAGUUGAAAAAAAAUCUAUAAAAUUAAUAACACAUAAAAAACCAGUGAUUAAAUUAAUAGAUUUGUCAGUUAAUUUGAAACGUAUGGAUGAAGCAUUGAUAAAUAAAAGAUUAUGUAUUUCUAAAACAACAUUGAAUGUAACUGAAAGUGAUAUUAGAAUAUUGCCUGAUAAAGUUGAUGGUAAUUUUUAAAAUAAUGCCAUAGAAGAUUUCAUUGGUGGUGAUAUAGAUGAUAGUAUCCAGCCUAAUUUUAUAACUGCUAGAGAGAAUGAUCUUAAAACAUGUACAAGAUCAGAUAUUCGAUCAAAAAAUAAAGUAAGUAAAAAUCAGAAAAAUAAAUGUGUACCAGAAAAACUAAAAGUCAAAAGUUCUACACUAAAUAAAGAGCCAGUAGUUGAAUUCAAUGCCUCAGCCAAUAGCAGUUUAGAUUUGUCAGUAAAUUUGAAAGGUGUGGGAGAAGUAUUAAAAAGUAAAAAACAUUUAUUAGUAUUAACAAGCUCGGAUGGUAUUAAAAGAAAUUGUUGUUUAUACUGUGUUUUAAAAUGCAUUUCAACUAAGGAUCUCCAAAUAAAAGUUUUGUACGCAAAUCUUGUAGAUCACUAUGAAGUUGCUCAUUCAGAUGAAAAAUUAGUUAAACUAUUGGUUAAAAUUAAAAAAGCACCAUUCAUUAAGGGUAAACCAAGAUCAG
Long non-coding RNA from Phymastichus coffea, 1740 nucleotides. RefSeq lists it as uncharacterized. Lineage: Eukaryota; Metazoa; Arthropoda; Insecta; Hymenoptera; Eulophidae. The record is from RefSeq and is a predicted model, not a curated record. The transcript is spliced from 3 exons.